CCUGGUGGCUCAGUGGUAAAGAAUCUGCCUGCUGUGCAGAAGACCUGGGUUCAAUCCCUGGGUCAGGA
RNAcentral lists this transfer RNA (68 nucleotides) under Capra hircus (goat). It matches the Rfam family "tRNA". From Rfam's summary of the family: Transfer RNA (tRNA) molecules are approximately 80 nucleotides in length. RNAcentral also lists the same sequence under 1 other name. The record is from Rfam by way of RNAcentral. Lineage: Eukaryota; Metazoa; Chordata; Mammalia; Artiodactyla; Bovidae.